RNAcentral lists this long non-coding RNA (214 nucleotides) under Parus major (Great Tit). RNAcentral describes it as "lncRNA (ENSPMJG00000007518.1)". The record is from RNAcentral. Lineage: Eukaryota; Metazoa; Chordata; Aves; Passeriformes; Paridae.
GGUGUCUCUACAGUCCUAGCCAUGAAGAGAGAGGAUGAAACAUCCUGGAACAGCACAGGGAAGAGGCUGGAGCUGGGCUGCUGUCUCCACAGCUGUAGAACUACGGGAGACUGGUGCCAAAGGCUAAUGCAGGCAAAAUCCUCUCACCUCUGGCUGUGAUUUCCCAUAUCUGUGACGUUCAGGAGCCGUGGCAGUGCAUGGAGCAGAGGGGGAC